Long non-coding RNA from Limulus polyphemus (Atlantic horseshoe crab), 1385 nucleotides. RefSeq lists it as uncharacterized. The record is from RefSeq and is a predicted model, not a curated record. The transcript is spliced from 2 exons. Lineage: Eukaryota; Metazoa; Arthropoda; Merostomata; Xiphosura; Limulidae.
UAAUGGCUAUUGUUUUUCUUUUCUUGACAGCUGCUUUCAUCUCUAAUUUGUCUUAUCACUGAACAAACUGAAAAUAGGAUGGGUUAAAAGUUUUUCUGAAUAGCUCCUUUUGUACCUUGUUUCAGUUAUCACUACUCCAGCAGAAGAACUUUAAGAAUUGGAUUGAGUAGUGUUUUGUUUUGACAGCUACUAGUGUGUUUUUGUAUAAAUAUUUAUGGCUGUGUGAUUGCCAACCAUAUAUUCUCCACUAUUUGUUUCAGACAUCUAAUAUAGGUGGUCAAGGAAAUUUGAACCCUGUGCCAAAAUCUACCCUUGAAGCUUCUGAAAAUAACAAGAUAAUAAAAGAUGCCUUGUUUCCAUAAGUUGCUGGCAUGAAAUUAACAGAAGCACACCACCAAAGAAGACAUCUUUCCAAUAGUGUUGGUCAUCUCUGGUGGAAUGACAGAGAAAAAUGAGAUGGAACUGAAGUGACAGGUGGGAUAAGUAAUAUGACAAAUGUAAUUAACUUGAAGUCAUUUUCAGGUAAUUAUUCAGGACAAAAUAUUUUGAUACCUCCAUAGAAAACAGAAUGGGUAUGGUGAGUUUUUGUAUUAUAGUAGAAACCAUACCACCUUUAGACAUUCCAGUUUGUUUGUUUUAGGAAUUUAUUCUUACAUUACUUGAGUUGUGGUUUUCAUUGGUAUAAACAAUUGUACAUCCCAAAAUUCAGCAACAAAAAUGGUUGUAGUGAAAAAUCAGGCUCAAUACAAGAAAACAGCAUUUUAUUGGUAAUGACAUACUUCUCAAAUAGUGUCACAAAAUGUGCCUCUUCAUUCAUGUGACCAUGCUUGGCUAAGAUUAGCUACCCAGGCAAGUGAGGUAGCCUUUUCACUGUCUUUGUAGCCAAAAACAACAUCAAGAUCGUCAUCUGAAAGACUAGGAAAAUACGUUCAUUACAACUAGCUCACUGUCUGCUGGUACCUCCCAAGAUGUUUUCGAAAAGAUCACAUGCAUGUGACAUUUUGUUGUUCCAGGUGUUUGUGUUGAGUGAGGCUCCUCUGCCAAGUUAAUCCGUUCAUGUACUUGAAACAUUAACGUAUUUUCUACAAAAUAAAAGGUGUGGGUGAAACAAAAUAGUUUAGAAAAUUCAAGAACAUGAUGUUAAUUUCUUUUUUUGUAAUAUUUUAGGAAACACUCAUUUCACAUGUGUUAAAUGUUUUUGUUUUUUUCUUGUUGUUGAUUCACUAGAUCAGGUUCCCUGAUUCAUUAACAGUUUGCAUGGUAAACAUUAGUAUGGGAUCAUUUUAAACCAUAAGCUUUUGUCUUGUAUAUUUUGUGAAUUUUUAUAUUGUUAUCUUAACAUUGUACAUGUUUUUCAAAAGUCAAUAAAGCUUAUCCUUCCUGAU